Molecule: ribosomal RNA, 1493 nt
Filed under: uncultured Bordetella sp.
Lineage: Bacteria; Pseudomonadati; Pseudomonadota; Betaproteobacteria; Burkholderiales; Alcaligenaceae
Description: partial 16S-23S ribosomal RNA intergenic spacer
Rfam family: Bacterial small subunit ribosomal RNA
Source: RNAcentral
UGGGGCAUCAGGUAAUGUGGAGAGUUCGAUUCUGGCUCAGAUUGAACGCUGGCGGGAUGCUUUACAUGCAAGUCAGGCAGCGCAGCACGGACUUCGGUCUGGUGGCGAGUGGCGAACGAUUGAAGUAAUGUAUCAGGACGUGCCUAAGUGGCGGGGAUAACUACGCGAAAGCGUAGCUAAUACCGCAUACGCCCUUCGGGGAAAGCGAGGGGACCUUCGGGCCUCGCACUAUUAAACGGCCGAUAUCGGAUUAGCUAGUUGGUGGGGUAACGGCUCCGCAAGGCGACGAUCCGUAGCUGGUUUGAGAGGACGACCAGCCGCUGGGACUGAGACACGACCUGAACUCCUACGGGGAGGCAGCAGUGGGGAAUUUUGAACAAUGGAAACCCUGAUCCAGCCAUCCCGCGUGUGCGAUGAAGGCCUUCCGGGUUUAUGGCUGCCUGGCGGAAAGAAACGGCACGGGAUAAUGCCCCGUGCAACUGACGAACACCUGCAGAAUAAGCACCGGCUAACGCCGUGCCAGCAGCCGCGGUAAUACGUAGGGUGCAAGCGUUAAUCGGAAUUACUGGGCGUAAAGCGUGCUGAGCGGUUCCGGAAAGAACGAUGUGAAAUCGAGCUUAACUUUGGAACUGCAUUUUUAACUACCGAGCUAGAGUGUGUCAGAGGGAGGUGGAAUUCCGCGUGUAGCAGUGAAAUGCGUAGAUAUGCGGAGGAACACCGAUGGCGAAGGCAGCCUCCUGGGAUAACGACGCUCAUGCUGGCGAUGGGAGCAAACAGGAUUAGAUACCCUGGUAGUCCACGCCCUAAACGAUGUCAACUAGCUGUUGUUGGGCCUUCGAAGACUUGGUAGCGCAACUAACGCGUGAAGUUGACCGCCUGGGAGUACGGUCGCAAGAUUAAAACUCAAAGGAAUUGACGGGGACCCGCACAAGCGGUGGAUGAUGUGGAUUAAUUCGAUGCAACGCGAAAAACCUUACCUACCCUUGACAUGUCUGGAAUCCCGAAAGAGAUUUGGGAAUGCUCGCAAGAGAACCGGAACACAGGUGCUGCAUGGCUGUCGUCAGCUCGUGUCGUGAGAUGUUGGGUUAAGUCCCGCAACGAGCGCAACCCUUGUCAUUAGUUGCUACGAAGAACGCUCUAAUGAGACUGCCGGUGACAAGCCGGAGGAAGGUGGGGAUGACGUCAAGUCCUCGUAGCCCUUAUGGGUAGGGCUACACGUCAUAUUGCGGUCGGGACAGAGGGUCGCCCAGCCCGCAGGAGGCCAAUCCCAGAAACCCGAUCGUAGUCCGGAUCAUGAUCUGCAACUCGACUACGUGAAGUCGGAAUCGCUGGUAAUCGCGGAUCAGCAUGUCGCGGUAGAAUACGUUCCAGGUCUUGUACACACCGCCCGUCCACACCAUGGGAGUGGGUUUUACCAGAAGUAGUUAGCCUAACCGUAAGGAGGGCGAUUACCGCAUUAGGAUUCAUGACUGGGGUGAAGUCGUAACAGGUAG